This 91-nucleotide non-coding RNA is filed under the name Bacillus andreraoultii. RNAcentral's name for it is "Cyclic di-GMP-I riboswitch". It matches the Rfam family "c-di-GMP-I riboswitch aptamer". Rfam says of the family: GEMM was predicted in a large-scale screen for bacterial structured RNA regulatory elements. Genes associated with GEMM are involved in a diverse array of functions, including chemotaxis regulation, signal transduction, secretion and chitin. The record is from RNAcentral. Lineage: Bacteria; Bacillati; Bacillota; Bacilli; Caryophanales; Bacillaceae.
AUUAAGGGCAAAACCAUUGAAAGAUGGUGACGCAAAGCUAGAGGGACUACAGUGUUGGUUGAAUUCACAACACUAUGUUAGCCAGCUGCUA